RNAcentral lists this transfer RNA (65 nucleotides) under Salmonella enterica subsp. enterica serovar Ohio. RNAcentral's name for it is "tRNA-Asn". It matches the Rfam family "tRNA". Rfam says of the family: Transfer RNA (tRNA) molecules are approximately 80 nucleotides in length. Their secondary structure includes four short double-helical elements and three loops (D, anti-codon, and T loops). Lineage: Bacteria; Pseudomonadati; Pseudomonadota; Gammaproteobacteria; Enterobacterales; Enterobacteriaceae. The record is from RNAcentral.
UCUGUAGUUCAGUCGGUAGAACGGCGGACUGUUAAUCCGUAUGUCACUUCCAGUCAGAGGAGCCA